CCUACGGGAGGCAGCAGUGGGGAAUUUUGGACAAUGGGCGAAAGCCUGAUCCAGCAAUGCCGCGUGAGUGAAGAAGGCCUUCGGGUUGUAAAGCUCUUUUGUCAGGGAAGAAACGGUGAGAGCUAAUAUCUCUUGCUAAUGACGGUACCUGAAGAAUAAGCACCGGCUAACUACGUGCCAGCAGCCGCGGUAAUACGUAGGGUGCAAGCGUUAAUCGGAAUUACUGGGCGUAAAGCGUGCGCAGGCGGUUUUGUAAGUCUGAUGUGAAAUCCCCGGGCUCAACCUGGGAAUUGCAUUGGAGACUGCAAGGCUAGAAUCUGGCAGAGGGGGGUAGAAUUCCACGUGUAGCAGUGAAAUGCGUAGAUAUGUGGAGGAACACCGAUGGCGAAGGCAGCCCCCUGGGUCAAGAUUGACGCUCAUNCACGAAGACGUGGGAGGACGAACAGAGUAGUAUACCUACGUAGUACGACCGACCCGUAACCGUACUAGUCUACUACGUUGUUCGGUUCGUUA
This 513-nucleotide ribosomal RNA is filed under the name uncultured bacterium. Its description in RNAcentral is "bacterial SSU rRNA". It matches the Rfam family "Bacterial small subunit ribosomal RNA", at positions 338 to 854 of the family's 1533-position model. The record is from RNAcentral.